RNAcentral lists this long non-coding RNA (202 nucleotides) under Elaeis guineensis (African oil palm). Its description in RNAcentral is "long non-coding RNA (EGUI_LNC066368)". Lineage: Eukaryota; Viridiplantae; Streptophyta; Magnoliopsida; Arecales; Arecaceae. The record is from RNAcentral.
CUUCUACCUAGCUGAUGAGCAAAAAGUGUUUGUCAGUCUUAAGACAAUCUUUUUGGAAAAAAAAUUCCUUGGUGAAGGGACUGUUGCCUCUAAGAUCGAACUUGACGAAGUUCGAUAGGUGGAAAAAUCGACACAAGUUGCUGAACCUGAAUCAGAUUUAGUUAGAUCAGAUCCGGAGCCCAUUGUUCAAGCACCCUUAAGG